CCCUUAGAUGUCCGGGGCCGCACGCGCGCUACACUGAAGGAAUCAGCGUGGCUUUCUCCCUGACCCGAAAGGGUUGGGAAACCCGUUGAAUCUCCUUCGUGAUAGGGAUUGGGGCUUGAAAUUGUUCCCCAUGAACGAGGAAUUCCCAGUAAGCGCGAGUCAUAAGCUCGCGUUGAUUACGUCCCUGCCCUUUGUACACACCGCCCGUCGCUACUACCGAUUGAACGGUUUAGUGAGGGCCUCGGAUUGGUCUCGGCCCGCUCUUUCCCGGGCGGCGCCGUUGGUCGAGAAGACGCUCGAACUUGAUCGUUUAGAGGAAGUAAAAGUCGUAACA
RNAcentral lists this ribosomal RNA (334 nucleotides) under uncultured eukaryote. Its description in RNAcentral is "partial 18S ribosomal RNA". It matches the Rfam family "Eukaryotic small subunit ribosomal RNA", at positions 1470 to 1796 of the family's 1831-position model. The record is from RNAcentral.